AAUGUGAACAUGACUUAGUGCCAUGCAAAACAUUAAAUGAAAUUGUAAAAUUCCCAUUGAUUUCAUGGGAGCAGAGAUAGGCCUAUACCGAGCACUUCUGCAAAUCCCAUUCUUAAAAUACUGUGUGCAAUUCUACUGUCCUUAUUAUAGGAAAGGCUUAAUUGCUAAGACUGAAAGUGCAGUGGGAAGUAACCAAAAAUGAUGCAGGGGAUGGAUUGUAAGAAAAGAUGAGAGAGAUUUCACCUCUGCUGGUCAGAAAAAAAAAAAGUAACGUCAGAGAGCUCUGUAAGAAGUAUGUAUUGGAGAUAGCUGAAACGACCUACAAUAUUUAAUUAAUAAAUAAGCAAUUGGGCAUAGAAGUAAUUUAGGCAGCAUUUAUUUACAGGGCAUUCUUUCAUAGCAGGGGGAUCUUUUUUAUUUGCACAAUAAACAUCCAGUAAUAGUGGGAUAUGCAGAAAACUGCAAACAAAGCAAUAAAUCAGAGUACGUAAAUCCAUUCAAGUGUGGUUGGGGAAAGAGAAAAAUGUGUUGUGUCAGAGCUACAAACUAUAUAUCUGUGCUCCAGCAGUGCAAUUUUGUGGUUUUGUUAGGUAUCUUUGGAUCUAUAAGAAAGCCCUGGUAAUUAUUUACUUGACAGUGUUCUUUGUACAAAGUCAAAUAUUCAAACACCUCGGUCCUUCCCCCCAAUAAAAUAAAAAUUCAGAGGGUGAGCUGAAACAGAAAGUAUAUUAAUCAAAAUGCAGAGCUUUGCACAGCUCUAAGAAUCCUGGAAUCUUUUUCCAGCCUUGCCUCUGACUCACCUGUGAAAACUUGGGCAAGUAACUUUGGGCCAGAUUUUUAAUGAUAUUUAGGCUCUCAACUCCCAUUGAUUUCACUGGGAGCUGGGCACCUAACUACCUUUAAAAAUCUGGCCCUUCACCUCGUUGCUUGUCUUACUGCAUCUGUGAAAUGGGUAUAAUAUCUAAUUUUCUCAAAGGAAUGUCAUGAGGCUUAAUUUAUGUUUGUAAGCAGCUUUGAAAUUUAUCCAUGAUAGAUACUUCACAUGUCCUGUUGUUAUUGUUCCAUUGUCUUUUAGUUUAUUCCUUACCUCGAAAUGUGUUGAUUUACGAAAGCCAUGCCUAAUUGGAGGUGAGUGAAUUAGUAUAUAAUACAUGAGGAAGGAAAAUGCUCCUCUCAUAACUGCAGAGGAAAUGAAUCCCAUUAGAGAAGAGCCGUAAUGUGAUUUAAAUGUUUUGCAGGAUUCCCAAGAGACCACCUCGCAGAUGUCAAACAUGAGCCCCUUUCCUAAGCCAGAGUUGCCGUACUGCUAGUUUACUCAGCAUGAGUAAGAAAGGGAGAAGAUUUGUGUUACCGCUUGUAUGCUUCUGCACUGAUGUGAUAAAAAUAAGCAUCCCCAUUUCCUGGGUGAGGGAGAGUAGAGGAGAGUCUUUAACAUUUCUUGACUGGUCUAGCCUCUAUAAAUAUUUUAAUGCCCUUCUAACAUACAUGUCUCUCCUGUUUGAUUUUGAUGGCUUAAGGGCAUAAAGAUUUCCAGUCUUACGUCAAAAUUGGAGUGAAAAUGUAAUAUCCUUUUAAGAUAAAAGGAAGACUCUAAAGCACUAUAUGUUUUGUAAAGCUCAGGAAAGGUUCUUUAAGCAACAAAUGCUGGUAGUUCUGCAGUAAUUUGAAGGGUAUAAACACUAAGAAGAAGAAGAAUUGCAGAUGGUGCAAAGCAUUUAGCUAGGCGUGACAGAAUUAUAUCGGCCAAAGGAAAAUGUGGGCUGAGCUAAAGAAAAAACUAAAAGCAUUUGCUUCAUGGUGUAAUCCUGAUAUUGACAGGGAAAGGCUUAGCUGACCAAUAGGUUUUUCCAUAUCUAAUUUUUAUGAUUUCAUACUUAAAAUUGUAACAUUACUGCUUUCAAAGGCUCUAAAGGACAUUCUUGUAAGACUCCGAUGAUAGAUCUCCACAUGGAGUAGUUAUGUUUUCUGGGAUUUUAUCAGAUAGGUUAAUUUUCUGGAUAUCUUUCCAAAAUGUUAAGCCACAAGACAAUAAUCAAAGUAUUCUUCUUUGUCAUGGUACGCUACACCAAUUGAAGCCAGUGAAUCUACUCAUGUGAGUAUGACAAGCAAGAUCUGGCUCUCUUGGUAUAUCAAAAGCUGGGAUUGCUGAAAAGUGU
This is a long non-coding RNA of Dermochelys coriacea (leatherback sea turtle), 2156 nucleotides long. RefSeq lists it as uncharacterized. The transcript is spliced from 3 exons. Lineage: Eukaryota; Metazoa; Chordata; Testudines; Dermochelyidae. The record is from RefSeq and is a predicted model, not a curated record.